This 442-nucleotide ribosomal RNA is filed under the name uncultured bacterium. RNAcentral's name for it is "partial 16S ribosomal RNA". It matches the Rfam family "Bacterial small subunit ribosomal RNA", at positions 338 to 795 of the family's 1533-position model. The record is from RNAcentral.
CCUACGGGAGGCAGCAGUGGGGGAUAUUGCACAAUGGGGGAAACCCUGAUGCAGCGACGCCGCGUGGGCGAAGAAGUAUUUCGGUAUGUAAAGCCCUAUCAGCAGGGAAGAAGAAAUGACGGUACCUGAGUAAGAAGCACCGGCUAAAUACGUGCCAGCAGCCGCGGUAAUACGUAUGGUGCAAGCGUUAUCCGGAUUUACUGGGUGGAAAGGGAGCGCAGGCGGCACGGCAAGCCUGAUGUGAAAGCCCGCGGCCCAACCGCGGGACUGCAUUGGGAACUACCGGGCUGGAGUGCCGGAGAGGUAGGCGGAAUUCCUAGUGUAGCGAUGAAAUGCGUAGAUAUUAGGAGGAACACCAGUGGCGAAGGCGGCCUACUUGACGGUGACUGACGCUGAGGCUCGAAAGCGUGGGGAGCAAACAGGAUUAGAUACCCGGGUAGUC